GACGAACGCUGGCGGCGUGCUUAACACAUGCAAGUCGAACGGAAAGGCCUUUUCGGAGGUACUCGAGUGGCGAACGGGUGCGUAACACGUGGGUGAUCUGCCCUGCACUCUGGGAUAAGCCUGGGAAACUGGGUCUAAUACCGGAUAGGACCGCACUUUAGUGUGUGUGGUGGAAAGUUUUUUCGGUGUAGGAUGAGCCCGCGGCCUAUCAGCUUGUUGGUGGGGUAAUGGCCUACCAAGGCGGCGACGGGUAGCCGGACUGAGAGGUUGGUCGGCCACAUUGGGACUGAGAUACGGCCCAGACUCCGACGGGAGGCAGCAGUGGGGAAUAUUGCACAAUGGGCGCAAGCCUGAUGCAGCGACGCCGCGUGGGGGAUGACGGCCUUCGGGUUGUAAACUCCUUUCGCCAGGGACGAAGCGUUUUGUGACGGUACCUGGAGAAGAAGCACCGGCUAACUACGUG
RNAcentral lists this ribosomal RNA (463 nucleotides) under uncultured bacterium. RNAcentral's name for it is "partial 16S ribosomal RNA". It matches the Rfam family "Bacterial small subunit ribosomal RNA", at positions 28 to 507 of the family's 1533-position model. The record is from RNAcentral.